AGAUACCCUGUUACUUAUAAUUAAAAAAUUUUGGAAUAGUAAUAAUAAUGAAAUUUAACGGAUUUGGCGGCAAGAUAGCCAUUUAGAGGAACCUGCCCUAUAAACGAUGAACCACGAAAUACUUUGCUUUUAAUUGUUAUCAGUUUGUAUACCGCUGUUGUCAGUCAGUUUUUUCAGAAAUCUUUCUAUAAUGAUAAAAUCAAUUACUUCAAGUAAAGGUGCAGCUUAUGUAAAAGUUAGAGGUGGGUUACAUUUAUAAGAUUAAAACGAAUAAAGAUUUUGAAAAAUCUUUUGAAGGUGGAUUUAAAUGUAAAGUUUAAAAAAACUC
This 328-nucleotide ribosomal RNA is filed under the name Trevathana jensi. RNAcentral describes it as "partial 12S ribosomal RNA". Lineage: Eukaryota; Metazoa; Arthropoda; Thecostraca; Balanomorpha; Pyrgomatidae. The record is from RNAcentral.